GCUGGGCACAGUGGUGCAUGCCUGUAAUCCCAGCAGCUUGGGAGGCUGAGACAGGAGGAUCACAAGUUCAAAGCCAGCCUCAGGAAAAGUAAGGUGCUAAGCAACUCAGUGAGACCCUGUCUCUA
RNAcentral lists this small RNA (125 nucleotides) under Marmota monax (woodchuck). The record is from RNAcentral. Lineage: Eukaryota; Metazoa; Chordata; Mammalia; Rodentia; Sciuridae.